UUCCCUGUGGCUCAGUUGGUAGAGCAUUGUGUUUGUAACGCCAGCAUGGUGUGUGCAACGCCAGGGUUGUGGGUUCGAUUCCCACGGGGGGCA
Salmo salar (Atlantic salmon) is the source of this 93-nucleotide non-coding RNA. NCBI's taxonomy places the organism in Eukaryota, Metazoa, Chordata, Actinopteri, Salmoniformes, Salmonidae. The record is from Rfam.